Molecule: ribosomal RNA, 1616 nt
Filed under: Staphylococcus aureus
Lineage: Bacteria; Bacillati; Bacillota; Bacilli; Caryophanales; Staphylococcaceae
Description: partial 23S ribosomal RNA
Rfam family: Bacterial large subunit ribosomal RNA
Source: RNAcentral
GAGAAUGCCGGUGUGAGUAGCGAAAGACGGGUGAGAAUCCCGUCCACCGAUUGACUAAGGUUUCCAGAGGAAGGCUCGUCCGCUCUGGGUUAGUCGGGUCCUAAGCUGAGGCCGACAGGCGUAGGCGAUGGAUAACAGGUUGAUAUUCCUGUACCACCUAUAAUCGUUUUAAUCGAUGGGGGGACGCAGUAGGAUAGGCGAAGCGUGCGAUUGGAUUGCACGUCUAAGCAGUAAGGCUGAGUAUUAGGCAAAUCCGGUACUCGUUAAGGCUGAGCUGUGAUGGGGAGAAGACAUUGUGUCUUCGAGUCGUUGAUUUCACACUGCCGAGAAAAGCCUCUAGAUAGAAAAUAGGUGCCCGUACCGCAAACCGACACAGGUAGUCAAGAUGAGAAUUCUAAGGUGAGCGAGCGAACUCUCGUUAAGGAACUCGGCAAAAUGACCCCGUAACUUCGGGAGAAGGGGUGCUCUUUAGGGUUAACGCCCAGAAGAGCCGCAGUGAAUAGGCCCAAGCGACUGUUUAUCAAAAACACAGGUCUCUGCUAAACCGUAAGGUGAUGUAUAGGGGCUGACGCCUGCCCGGUGCUGGAAGGUUAAGAGGAGUGGUUAGCUUCUGCGAAGCUACGAAUCGAAGCCCCAGUAAACGGCGGCCGUAACUAUAACGGUCCUAAGGUAGCGAAAUUCCUUGUCGGGUAAGUUCCGACCCGCACGAAAGGCGUAACGAUUUGGGCACUGUCUCAACGAGAGACUCGGUGAAAUCAUAGUACCUGUGAAGAUGCAGGUUACCCGCGACAGGACGGAAAGACCCCGUGGAGCUUUACUGUAGCCUGAUAUUGAAAUUCGGCACAGCUUGUACAGGAUAGGUAGGAGCCUUUGAAACGUGAGCGCUAGCUUACGUGGAGGCGCUGGUGGGAUACUACCCUAGCUGUGUUGGCUUUCUAACCCGCACCACUUAUCGUGGUGGGAGACAGUGUCAGGCGGGCAGUUUGACUGGGGCGGUCGCCUCCUAAAAGGUAACGGAGGCGCUCAAAGGUUCCCUCAGAAUGGUUGGAAAUCAUUCAUAGAGUGUAAAGGCAUAAGGGAGCUUGACUGCGAGACCUACAAGUCGAGCAGGGUCGAAAGACGGACUUAGUGAUCCGGUGGUUCCGCAUGGAAGGGCCAUCGCUCAACGGAUAAAAGCUACCCCGGGGAUAACAGGCUUAUCUCCCCCAAGAGUUCACAUCGACGGGGAGGUUUGGCACCUCGAUGUCGGCUCAUCGCAUCCUGGGGCUGUAGUCGGUCCCAAGGGUUGGGCUGUUCGCCCAUUAAAGCGGUACGCGAGCUGGGUUCAGAACGUCGUGAGACAGUUCGGUCCCUAUCCGUCGUGGGCGUAGGAAAUUUGAGAGGAGCUGUCCUUAGUACGAGAGGACCGGGAUGGACAUACCUCUGGUGUACCAGUUGUCGUGCCAACGGCAUAGCUGGGUAGCUAUGUGUGGACGGGAUAAGUGCUGAAAGCAUCUAAGCAUGAAGCCCCCCUCAAGAUGAGAUUUCCCAACUUCGGUUAUAAGAUCCCUCAAAGAUGAUGAGGUUAAUAGGUUCGAGGUGGAAGCAUGGUGACAUGUGGAGCUGACGAAUACUAA